ACAAGAUCACUCAGAUCACACAAGAUCUCCUUCAAAGAUCGUUCAGAUCACAUAAGAUCUCCUUUAAAGAUCGCUCAGAUCACACAAGAUCUCCUUCAAAGAUCGUUCAGAUCACACAAGAUCUCCUUCAAAGAUCGUUCAGAUCACACAAGAUCUCCUUCAAAGAUAGCUCGGUUCACACAAGAUCUCCUUCAAAGAUCGUUCAGAUCACACAAGAUCUCCUUCAAAGAUCGUUCAGAUCACACAAGAUCUCCUUCAAAGAUCGUUCAAAUCACACAAGAUCGCCUUCAAAGAUCGUUCAGAUCACACAAGAUCUCCUUCAAAGAUAGCUCGGUUCACACAAGAUCUCCUUCAAAGAUCGUUCAGAUCACACAAGAUCUCCUUCAAAGAUCGUUCAAAUCACACAAGAUCGCCUUCAAAGAUCGUUAAGAUCACACAAGAUCUCCUUCAAAGAUAGCUCGGUUCACACAAGAUCUCCUUCAAAGAUCGUUCAGAUCACACAAGAUCUCCUUCAAAGAUCGUUAAGAUCACACAAGAUCUCCUUCAAAGAUGGUUCAGACCACACAAGAUCUCCUUCAAAGAUCGUCCAGAUCACACAAGAUCUCCUUCAAAUAUCGUUCAGAUCACACAAGAUCUCAUUCAAAGAUCGUUCAGAUCACACAAGAUAUUCUUCAAAGAUCGUUCAGAUCACACAAGAUAUUCUUCAAAGAUCGUUCAGAUCACACAAGAUCUCCUUCAAAGAUCGUUCAGAUCAUACAAGAUCUCCUUCAAAGAUCGUUCAGAGAUCACACAAGAUAUUCUUCAAAGAUCGUUCAGAUCACAAAAGAUCUCCUUCAAAGAUCGCUUCAAAGAUCGUUCAGAUCACACAAGAUUGCUCGGAUCACACCAUAUUGCUCAUAUCACACAAAAUCACUUGAAAAGUUCGCUUAGGUCGCUUGCUAGUCGCUUGAGUUGCUCGCUAGAUCGCUUUAGUUGCUAAAGUGAGAAAGUCUUUGUUGUGGUGGCCUCAAUGGAAGUCCAGAGGGUAGCGGGUUGGAAUUAAAUAAUAGAAAUUGGGGACUUUUAUAAACAAAUAUAUAAAUAUAGAUAAAAAAAGAGGCAUAUCCAGACAGCUCACAUGGGCAUUUUUAGAUGGCAGAGCGCCAUUUAGUGGAACAAAAGCCAACUAAACGUUGAUUUAACUUGUUUCUUAAUAUUCGGCCAACCCAUUUUCUUGAUAAAUCAAGAAAAGCCAACCACAAAAGCGUUUGAGCUUGUUGGCCCUCGUCAGCGUGGUGCAAGCUGUACCUCUACGACCAAAAAUUGGAUCCUAGAGAAACUUCCUAAUAAAUCAAGAAAUGGGUAUUUAAGGCCUAAUUUGUGUAAAUACGCUGAUCAUGUGAAAAAAUAAAAAGAAAAAUGGUCAGGUGUUCAUAUUAAAAACAAAAAAGACAUAUCCUGACUGUUUACAUGAGCACAUUCUAAUUUUUUUUUUCACAAAAAUAUCUUUCACAUGAUCCGCGUAUUUACGCAAAUUUGGCUUCAAAUACCCAUUUAUCGAUUUCUCAGGAAGACUGAGACUAAAUUUUGGUCGUUGAGACACAGCCUGUACUGUGCUGAAGAGAGCCAACGGCCAGAAACACAUACGUGGUUGGCUUUUUGUGAUUUACCAAGAAAAUUGGUUGGCCAAAUAUAUCAUGGAACAAGUUAAAUCAACAUUUAGUUGAAUUUUUGUUCCAUUAGAUGGCGUUUUGCCAUAUAAAAUCCUCAUGUGAGCGUUUAUGAUAUGCCAUAUUUUCUUUUAAUAUAUAUAAAACUAGCGAACCCGGCCACGCGUUGCUGUGGCUAAAUUGUAAUAUAUUAAAUUAACAUUAUACUAAACUAUUCAGUACAGUAAAGUAAAUAUUCACUUAUGAAUAUAAAAAUGUUUCAGCCGAUCUAAAGCCCUACGGGAUUGAGAAUGGAACGUUACGUUAAAAUUUGAAAGUGAUUUUUAUAUAUAUAGAUAAUAUAGCCCUUCAUUGUAAGCAUUGAUUAUAAUCACUGCAUUAAUAAAUGUCAGUGAACUCGUUUAUAUGUAUUGUUUUUGUUUUCGAGAUAUUCUAAUAGAACGUUCUCACAUUUUCUGUAAAAUAUUUAUAUAUGCACAAACACAGAAUAUAAUCACUGUCUUAAUUUCGCUAUAAUAAUUGUUAUAAAUAUUAUUCUAAAAUAAUUCGCCAGAAAUCGUCCUGAUAGUAUAUUAAACAACUUCCCAAAGUGUCAUGGCAAACAUCUAAAAUAAAAUAAUACUUUUAAUACUUUGCUACAAUAUUAAAAAGAGGGGGGCUUAGGUGUUUAAAAUGUAAAAUGUGAUCUAAAUAGUAUUACAUAGAGCCUUCAUAACAAACAUAUUUAAAAUUAACCAAUCAAAAUAUAAUAAUGCUGUAAAAACAGACCUUGCUACGAUAAUAUAAAAGAAAUGAAAAUAAAAAAAGACACCCACGCUGAGCCUCGAACCUAGGUUUGCUACAAAUAUUGUUAAAAAAUUGUUUAUGUUAAUUUUUAUUUUAAAAAGCCUACAUUUUAAAUAAAAUAAUAUUUUUACUAAUUUGCUACAAUAAUAUAAAAGAAAUGAAAAAAAAAAAAACACCCACGCUGAGCCUCGAACCUAGGUUGCGGGGGUACGAAGCUGUGUGCCUAACCUAUAGGCUAAGCUUGACGUUACAUAUAAGCUCAUGCGAGGCUAUUUCAGGCCAUACGUCUGCCGCGAGGGGGCGCUGAUUGCGAGUGAAUUUACGUUUUAUUGUAAAUAAAAAUGCAACGAAAGGUUAUUUCUAAAGAGUAAUUAGCCAGAAACCAUCCCGGUAGUAUACUAAACAUCUUGCCAAAGUUUCAUCACGAUUGGUUGAGCGAUGUAGAAGAUUAUCACUGACGAACGGACGGACGGACGGACCAACGGACCAACAAACAUCCAUUUUUAUAUAUAUAGAUUAGCGAAUGUACCCGACUUCGUCCGGUUUUAGUCCCCGAGUGAAAGUUUUCUUAAGAAACAUUUCAUAGAGAAAAAAUAUAUUUUCUGGAAAAACCUUCACACUCUCUAUACUGAAUCUAUUCCUGUAAAGAUAAAUUGAUUGCUUAUAUGCUUUUCUUCAUAAAACUACUAAAUAAAUCAUUGGAAAAUUUUGCAUAUUGGUAUCUGAAUAUACAAAUUAACAUUAAAGCUAAUCAAACACUUAAAUUAGAGAUUCGUGGUCCAUUUGGAUGAGGAAAGUGAAGACUAAAACGCGGCUGAUUCCACACUCGCCUCUUCAGUGAUACGCUAACCUAUGCAAGGUGGAUUCUGUGGCCACUGGACAUGCGUCGGACCUGGAGGUUGUUGGGUUCUGUGUUGCCUGGAGUAUAGAAGCUCUAUCUAUGUUUCCUUCCUGUGGUGAAUCUGUAUAAAACCUGUGGUCUAAAUGAAGCUGUGUGUAUAAAUUAGACAAUAAACAGAACCAUUUUGCAUAUUUUGGUGUUAUAAAAUCAUGAUAACUUUUAUAUACUGACACACCCAAUAGCCUAGCUUUGCCUGGCUUAUCCCCUAGUGAAUGUUUGCCGGGCGAAUAUUGAUUUUAACAUGAAUGUUUUAUUCCAUGGAAGCAAUGGUCGCCUCUCCCGUCAAAAUAAACGUCAGAAUCUGACGCCAUCUAUUGACCGUCGCCGCAACUAGCGGCAUCGGGUCGGUGACAAAGCCACAACACCAACUUUGACAAACUGAAAAGCGUCCACCUAGAGACCAUGGUUUCGGGCUAAUGGCCCUCGUCAGUCUAGGGCGGACUUUAUUCCAUGAUAAUUAUUACCCAUGAGAGGAUUCAAAUAUUAAUGUAUUUUAAAAACUAUUAUAAUCAUUUUAUGUUUCAUUUUAAAUAUUUAUUUUUAAAAUUAAUUUUUACUUUAGAGUGACACGAUUCCAUUAUAGUCAGAAAAAGUAUUUGUUGAAGCAUUCUUGUUUUUAAAUAUCAAUGUUUACAUGUUUUAAAAAUAAAAUAAAAAUGAUACAUAUGCAAGCGUGUUGGAUCAUGUUUUGAUGGUGGCCUAAGGCAAAGUAGCCCUAAAAAGGAUUUCGUCGAACCAUAAACGGUCAAAUCUAGGACAAAAAGUUCAAUGAGGUGCGAGUUGAUAAGAGAUUUCCAAGAAGACCAGACGGCUGGGAGCCGUGGCGUGCUCCUGUAAUCCAGCUACUUGGAGGCCGGGGUUGGUGAACGGCUUGAGGCGGGGAGUCCUCCCUUCUGUCUCCCUAUGUUGACCGGAUGUCCGCACUAGGCCCAGUGUCAAUAUGGCGACUCCGGGGGAGCCCGGGGCCUCCAGGUCAGCUAAGGAGGAGUGGACCGGCCCAGGGCGGAAACGCAGCAGGCAAAAGCUCCCGCGCAGGGCGGUAGUGGGAUCGCGUCCAGGAAUAGGGACCAAAUGGGAGCCUCGCCGAUAUAGUUGGACCCAACUCUUUUUUUUUUAAACUUGUUAUUUUAUUCUUUGAAGGCCUUCAAAUUUAUUUUUAACGACCUAUGAGGGCUACAUAAAAGUUAUCGGUUCGAUUCCCAAUGCUGCAUUCUUUUUUUUUUUUUUUUAAUUAUUAUUAUUUAAUUUUUUAAAAUUGAUAUUAUAUACAGUGGUGGUGGUGCUUAUCUUCAAAUUUAUUAUUCUAUCCUAUACAUCCAAUUAUAUACAGUAGAACCUAUCUGUAAAGGACAACACCUAAUUACAGAGCCAAAGUGUCCUUUAGGGAGAGGUAUCCUCUUACCGGAGAGUUGCUAAAUAGUAAAAAUGGUAAUUUUGCAAAUGAAAACUGUCCUUUGUAGAAAGGUGGCUGCUAAAGGGAGGUUAUACUCUCUGUAUUAAUUAUAUAAAAAAAAUCAAUCAUUUAUAAUUAUUGAGAAUUUCGUCUACUCACAUAGAUUGUACUAUGUUUCACAAAUAGAUGCACAUAUGUCAGCAUUUGAGAAAGGAUGUUGAAAUGCCUGUUAAAGCAUUCUUGAUUGGGCAAACAUUCACUAGGAGAAAACUCAGGCGAAGCCGGGCAAUAAUUUAUUAUCGCGUGAGAACGCCCUUAGAGCCUUAGAAUAAUUUUUAACGCCUUGCUAUAUGUUUUAAUUUUUGUUUGCUCCUGAUGAGGACAAAAGCUUUUUGUCGAAACGCCGAGGCAAUAAAAAGAUUUAUACUGGCCGAAGUAUCUUUUUUCAAGAAAUAUGAAUGCCGGCCAGGCAGCCUCUAUCUUCACGAUGUAAAUAUUUUAUUAAAAAAACAGCAUUUUAUAUUUUAUACAUAUACACUAUGAUAAAAAUACAUUCGAGUAAAUUCUAGGCAUUGCUCAGGUCAUUUAGCUAUAUAGUUAAUUGUUCCAAAAUCACUUUAUUAGGUAUCGCUCAAAAAGAGAAACCUAGUUUAUGAUAUUUGCAACAAUGAAUAAUAUAUGAAGGUUAUUCAUAUAUUAAACAAAAUGUUAACGUGGGAUUCAAUCCCGGUUCAUGACUGUCGGGAAUCGAGGGUGUUACCCACGUGUCCACCGACUCUUCUAUAUAGUUAAGAAUCAAAUUAUUCUAGAAGUAAGCUUUAAUAAGAUUUCUUAAAACAGUGUUUUGGUAAAAUAUC
Molecule: non-coding RNA, 5586 nt
Organism: Cordylochernes scorpioides
Lineage: Eukaryota; Metazoa; Arthropoda; Arachnida; Pseudoscorpiones; Chernetidae
Source: the annotation of a GenBank genome assembly